Molecule: transfer RNA, 73 nt
Filed under: Sphaerisporangium rufum
Lineage: Bacteria; Bacillati; Actinomycetota; Actinomycetes; Streptosporangiales; Streptosporangiaceae
Description: tRNA-Gly
Source: RNAcentral
GAGCUGCUGGCCGACGGCACCGGCGGCGUCGGCUACCUGCUGAAGGACCGGGUGUUCAACGCGGCGCAGUUCG